GUGCAGCAGGCGCGAAAACUCCGCAAUACGCGAAAGCGCGACGGGGCUACCCCGAGUGUCGUCCGCUGAGGACGACUUUUCCACGCUGUAAGGAGGCGUGGGAAUAAGGAGAGGGCAAGUCUGGUGUCAGCCGCCGCGGUAAUACCAGCUCUCCGAGUGGUAGGGACGAUUAUUGGGCUUAAAGCGUCCGUAGCCGGCUCAGCAAGUCUCCCGUUAAACCCAACGAUUCAAUCGUUGGACUGCGGGAGAUACUGUUGAGUUAGGAGGCGGGAGAGGCCGACGGUAUUCCCGGAGUAGGGGUAAAAUCCUAUAAUCCCGGGAAGACCACCAGUGGCGUAGGCGGUCGGCUAGCACGCGCUCGACAGUGAGGGACGAAAGCGGGGGUAGCGAACCGGAUUAGAUACCCGCGUAGUCC
RNAcentral lists this ribosomal RNA (415 nucleotides) under uncultured crenarchaeote. RNAcentral describes it as "partial 16S ribosomal RNA". It matches the Rfam family "Archaeal small subunit ribosomal RNA", at positions 330 to 747 of the family's 1478-position model. Lineage: Archaea; Thermoproteati; Thermoproteota. The record is from RNAcentral.